GGAUGUGAAGGCAACCUGGCUGUGACCUGUCACCCACUGAUGGCCAGGGUGACCCCCUCCUCACUGCUCCAUCACCUCCCUCCCAAAGCUGCACACUCAGUCAAAGAGCAAAAUCUUCCCCAAAUGAGAAGGACCAUUCUCCUGUCCAGGGCAUAUGCUUG
Molecule: small nuclear RNA, 161 nt
Filed under: Myotis brandtii (Brandt's bat)
Lineage: Eukaryota; Metazoa; Chordata; Mammalia; Chiroptera; Vespertilionidae
Description: 7SK RNA
Rfam family: 7SK RNA
About the family: 7SK was discovered as an abundant small nuclear RNA in the mid-70s but a possible function has only recently been suggested. Two independent studies have found that 7SK RNA binds the CDK9/cyclin T complex (known as elongation factor P-TEFb). P-TEFb activates transcription by phosphorylating the C-terminal domain of RNA polymerase II.
Source: Rfam by way of RNAcentral